GGUAUGAGCUUUCGUGUGCAUGCACACUUCUUCAGAUAUCUGAAGAAGAUAUCAGGUAUCUGAAGAAGUGUGCAUGCACACGAAAGCUCAUACC
Non-coding RNA from Podarcis lilfordi (Lilford's wall lizard), 94 nucleotides. The record is from the annotation of a GenBank genome assembly. NCBI's taxonomy places the organism in Eukaryota, Metazoa, Chordata, Lepidosauria, Squamata, Lacertidae.